CACGUAGUUAGCCGGUGCUUCUUCUCCAGGUACCGUCAGUAUCACCCUUCGUCCCUGGCGAAAGAGGUUUACAACCCGAAGGCCGUCAUCCCUCACGCGGCGUCGCUGCAUCAGGCUUGCGCCCAUUGUGCAAUAUUCCCCACUGCUGCCUCCCGUAGGAGUCUGGGCCGUGUCUCAGUCCCAGUGUGGCCGGUCGCCCUCUCAGGCCGGCUACCCGUCACCGCCUUGGUAGGCCAUCACCCCACCAACAAGCUGAUAGGCCGCGGGCUCAACUCAUACCGCCGGAGCUUUCCACCACCCCCCAUGCGAGGAAUGGUCCUAUCCGGUAUUAGACCCAGUUUCCCAGGCUUAUCCCAGAGUACAAGGCAGAUUACCCACGUGUUACUCACCCGUUCGCCACUCAUCCACCCACGCAAGCGCGGGCUUCAGCGUACGACUUGCAUGUGUUAAGCACGCCGCCAGCGUUCGUCCUGAGCCAGGAUCAAACUC
This 489-nucleotide ribosomal RNA is filed under the name uncultured Prauserella sp. Its description in RNAcentral is "partial 16S ribosomal RNA". Lineage: Bacteria; Bacillati; Actinomycetota; Actinomycetes; Pseudonocardiales; Pseudonocardiaceae. The record is from RNAcentral.